This is a long non-coding RNA of Centruroides sculpturatus (bark scorpion), 382 nucleotides long. RefSeq lists it as uncharacterized. The record is from RefSeq and is a predicted model, not a curated record. The transcript is spliced from 2 exons. NCBI's taxonomy places the organism in Eukaryota, Metazoa, Arthropoda, Arachnida, Scorpiones, Buthidae.
CAUCAAAAAAAUACAAUUAUUUUUUACAUUGUUUACGCCGAAUUUUAUGUGAAAUUAUUCCCAACGUACGAAAAGUGCAUUAGAUCGCGGUCACAUGACUAUAUCUAUACAACUACCUUUCUGACGUCAUCAGGUUCGUGAGAAUAAAGCGGAUACUUUAUGUACGAGUGGUGUUGGUGGUGUUUUAUUUAAUCGCACACUCUUAACACACACACACAAAAGAAAAAAACAUGAGACAUCAUAUAGGAAAAUAGCUAACGAAUUCGUGUAAGUAGGCACAUUUUCCUCGAAUUUUGCAACGUGUACGUCCAUUAAUUAUGAAUCACUUCAAUGCCAAAAUAUUCUCAGAUAACGAAUUAUUGUUUGAAAACUGCUCACUGAU